Long non-coding RNA from Hevea brasiliensis (rubber tree), 1081 nucleotides. RefSeq lists it as uncharacterized. The transcript is spliced from 2 exons. NCBI's taxonomy places the organism in Eukaryota, Viridiplantae, Streptophyta, Magnoliopsida, Malpighiales, Euphorbiaceae. The record is from RefSeq and is a predicted model, not a curated record.
UCUAGUAAUCACCACACCCAUUGGAAAUCAUCAUUCAAAGCAAACUUAUCAACAUACACCGGCCCUCCAAACUUCAAUUCCCUUCUUCCUCAAACACUAACUCAAUUGAAUACUUGGGAAUAACUUAUAGGCUGCUGUAUAAGGUGAAAGACAAGUUAUAUGCUCUUAUCAAUGUUAAAAGAGCUAUUGAUGAAGGAUAGCUAUAAGGAUUUUUUUUACUCACUCAACUAUCUUCUAGGUGAGGAAAUUAGAAAUAAUAUUGAUUAAUGGAAGAAGAUAGAUGUAGAGAGAGUUACCAUGAAGGAGUAUGGCUGAAAAUAAGGAUCAAAACCUCAAAAAUUGGAGAGGGCAGUAGCUGUCCCUUUUUGUCCUCCUUCAAUCAAGUGGCUGUUGGUUGAGAGAAAUGGUGAUUAGGCUUUCUCAAUGAAGGGAUUACUAUUUAGGAAGAUAAGAAUAAGUAGUGAAGACUUGAUUUAGUCAAAGAAAUGAGUUGAUUUCAGGAUUGUCUCCAUUUAUGCUCUGUUCUAGCUCUAGGAAGAGCAAUUGUUUUAACGCAUGAUGACAUCUCAAAGGUCUUUAGCCGGCUUUGCCUUUAUGGCUGAUAUCCAAGGCAUGUUGUCGUAUUGAGCUCUGCUUCAUCACCCUCUGUGAGCUGCUUACUUAGCCUGCAAUUCGUUUUCUGGGUUGUAUGGCCUGCUACUCAGGAGCUUCCUUGUCUCGAUCUGCUGUUUUGUAGGGAAUAUGACUGAAUUAUGGCUCUCCUAGGACUCCUUUAGGCCUCGGUGCCAUUUCUUGUCCUUUGGGAUUGAAGAGCUCUGCCCUUAGACUCUUUUUGGUUUACAUUUCCUCCUUUGCGGUGUUGCAAUAAGAAAAUCCGGGUAUGCACUAUUUCUUUUGGGUUGCCCAAAUAAAAAAAGGCUCUUUUGUAUUUAGACCUGAGUUUUUAUUAAUUUUUUAUUUUUAUAUUAUAGAUCAAACUACUUUUAAUUUAAGAUUCUAACCUUUUUAUAUCAAUGUAAUCUAUUUGUUGAAUAUAUAUAUAUAAAGAGGGAAAGAAAGAAAGAGUAAAGUUAUUUUUUUU